GUCCCUACAGCGCAAUGGAUAGCGCGUUGGACUUCUAAUCCAGCAGUCGUGGGUUCGAAUUCCACCUGGGAUG
This is a non-coding RNA of Trichonephila inaurata madagascariensis, 73 nucleotides long. NCBI's taxonomy places the organism in Eukaryota, Metazoa, Arthropoda, Arachnida, Araneae, Nephilidae. The record is from the annotation of a GenBank genome assembly.